GAAUUGACGGGGGCCCGCACAAGCAGUGGAGUAUGUGGUUUAAUUCGAAGCAACGCGAAGAACCUUACCAGGUCUUGACAUCCACCGAAUCCGGAAGAGAUUCCGAAGUGCCCUUCGGGGAACGGUGAGACAAAUGGUGCAUGGUUGUCGUCAGCUCGUGUCGUGAGAUGUUGGGUUAAGUCCCGCAACGAGCGCAACCCUCGUUAAUAGUUGCUACGCAAGAGCACUCUAUUAAGACUGCCGUUGAUAAAACGGAGGAAGGUGGGGAUGACGUCAAAUCAUCAUGCCCCUUAUGACCUGGGCUACACACGUACUACAAUGGCCGUUAACAGAGGGAAGCAAUACCGCGAGGUGGAGCCAAACCCUAAAAGCGGUCUCAGUUCAGAUUGCAGGCUGCAACCCGCCUGCAUGAAGACGGAAUUGCUAGUAAUCGCGGAUCAGCAUGUCGCGGUGAAUACGUUCCCGGGCCUUGUACACACCG
RNAcentral lists this ribosomal RNA (481 nucleotides) under uncultured Clostridium sp. RNAcentral's name for it is "bacterial SSU rRNA". It matches the Rfam family "Bacterial small subunit ribosomal RNA", at positions 907 to 1392 of the family's 1533-position model. The record is from RNAcentral. Lineage: Bacteria; Bacillati; Bacillota; Clostridia; Eubacteriales; Clostridiaceae.